RNAcentral lists this ribosomal RNA (497 nucleotides) under uncultured bacterium. RNAcentral describes it as "partial 16S ribosomal RNA". It matches the Rfam family "Bacterial small subunit ribosomal RNA", at positions 28 to 507 of the family's 1533-position model. The record is from RNAcentral.
GAUGAACGCUGGCGGCGUGCCUAAUACAUGCAAGUCGAGCGAACAGACGAGGAGCUUGCUCCUCUGACGUUAGCGGCGGACGGGUGAGUAACACGUGGAUAACCUACCUAUAAGACUGGGAUAACUUCGGGAAACCGGAGCUAAUACCGGAUAAUAUAUUGAACCGCAUGGUUCAAUAGUGAAAGACGGUUUUGCUGUCACUUAUAGAUGGAUCCGCGCCGCAUUAGCUAGUUGGUAAGGUAACGGCUUAACAAGGCAACGAUGCGUAGCCGACCUGAGAGGGAGAUCGGCCACACUGGAACUGAGACACGGUCCAGACUCCUACGGGAGGAAGCAGUAGGGAAUCUUCCGCGAUGGGCGAAAGCCUGACGGAGCAACGCCGCGUGAAUGAUGAAGGUCUUCGGAUCGUAAAACUCUGUUAUUAGGGAAGAACAAAUGUGUAAGUAACUAUGCACGUCUUGACGGUACCUAAUCAGAAAGCCACGGCUAACUACGUG